UACCUUGCAUCAAACUGGAUGAACAACGCGUGAAUAUCCGGGCACGGAUCCGAAAGUUCAAAAGACGGGUCUACGAGAGAGCUGCGACUCAUUCUUUGUGGCUGCGGAAAUUAUGUGAACGAUGGAGAUGUGGAAAUCGAGUAGAAUACUGUAAACUUUUAUCCAUUAGAGAGGAGGAAUACUUUAAUUAUGAUAAUAACUUCAAUUAAUGCAAUAUUAUUUCAUACCAGGGAAUAAAUUCAUUUUUGU
Non-coding RNA from Caenorhabditis elegans, 249 nucleotides. Ensembl annotates it as ncRNA. Its record names the gene anr-7. The record is from Ensembl. Lineage: Eukaryota; Metazoa; Nematoda; Chromadorea; Rhabditida; Rhabditidae.